AACUGUGGCCAUACCGGCUUGUCAAACAUCUGAUCUUGUCAGAUCUCAGAAGAUAAGCAAGGCCGGGCCAAGUUAGUACUUGGAUGGGAAACCGCUUGGAAUAUAAGUUGCUACAGUGG
RNAcentral lists this ribosomal RNA (119 nucleotides) under Periophthalmus magnuspinnatus. Lineage: Eukaryota; Metazoa; Chordata; Actinopteri; Gobiiformes; Gobiidae. The record is from RNAcentral.